Molecule: ribosomal RNA, 397 nt
Filed under: Pseudomonas plecoglossicida
Lineage: Bacteria; Pseudomonadati; Pseudomonadota; Gammaproteobacteria; Pseudomonadales; Pseudomonadaceae
Description: bacterial SSU rRNA
Rfam family: Bacterial small subunit ribosomal RNA
Source: RNAcentral
UUGCUCCUGGAUUCGCGGCGGACGGGUGCGUAAUGCCUAGGAAUCUGCCUGGUAGUGGGGGACAACGUUUCGAAAGGAACGCUAAUACCGCAUACGUCCUACGGGAGAAAGCAGGGGACCUUCGGGCCUUGCGCUAUCAGAUGAGCCUAGGUCGGAUUAGCUAGUUGGUGGGGUAAUGGCUCACCAAGGCGACGAUCCGUAACUGGUCUGAGAGGAUGAUCAGUCACACUGGAACUGAGACACGGUCCAGACUCCUACGGGAGGCAGCAGUGGGGAAUAUUGGACAAUGGGCGAAAGCCUGAUCCAGCCAUGCCGCGUGUGUGAAGAAGGUCUUCGGAUUGUAAAGCACUUUAAGUUGGGAGGAAGGGCAGUAAGCUAAUACCUUGCUGUUUUGACG